RNAcentral lists this ribosomal RNA (143 nucleotides) under uncultured eukaryote. RNAcentral's name for it is "partial small subunit ribosomal RNA". It matches the Rfam family "Bacterial small subunit ribosomal RNA", at positions 1383 to 1525 of the family's 1533-position model. The record is from RNAcentral.
GUACACACCGCCCGUCACACCAUGGGAGUUGGCUGUACCAGAAGUCAGUCGCUUAACCUUCGGGAGGGCGCCGACCACGGUCAGGUCAGCGACUGGGGUGAAGUCGUAACAAGGUAGCCGUAGGUGAACCUGCAGAAGGAUCA